RNAcentral lists this transfer RNA (71 nucleotides) under Marmota monax (woodchuck). Its description in RNAcentral is "tRNA.Thr". It matches the Rfam family "tRNA". From Rfam's summary of the family: Transfer RNA (tRNA) molecules are approximately 80 nucleotides in length. Their secondary structure includes four short double-helical elements and three loops (D, anti-codon, and T loops). Lineage: Eukaryota; Metazoa; Chordata; Mammalia; Rodentia; Sciuridae. The record is from RNAcentral.
GGGGUUGUGGCUCAGAGGUAGAGUGUUCACCUGGUAUGUGUGAGGCACUGGGUUUGAUCCUCAGCACCACA